Long non-coding RNA from Drosophila elegans, 429 nucleotides. RefSeq lists it as uncharacterized. The record is from RefSeq and is a predicted model, not a curated record. The transcript is spliced from 2 exons. NCBI's taxonomy places the organism in Eukaryota, Metazoa, Arthropoda, Insecta, Diptera, Drosophilidae.
UUAGCUUCGCCUGUCAAGCCUUUGUACCUCUAUGAUUUCCUUUUUGUAUCAUUCUCGUUCGUCUUUUCGGCCUUAACACAUCUAAAUCUUUUGUGUAGUCUCAAGUUAUUUGCUUUUCUUCGGUUCAAAAACUUUUUACGGAUUAAUCAUGUGUUGCGGACCUUGUGGACCCUGCUGUGGUCCAUGCGGACCGUGCUGUGGACCCUGCGGAGGAGGAUGUGGACCCUGCUAUGGACCCAAUGUCUGCGGACCCUGCUACGCCUGUGGACCCUGUGGCGGCUGCUACUGUGGAUAUCCUUGUUGUUAGCAAUCCUGAUUGGGGAACCACUAGAAGCCUAUCAAAAAGCCCCCAUUUCAUCUAGAAUCCGUGAGCCUCGAAGAAGUAAUUUGAGACAAUAUUAAAAAUGAAGCAAUGAAUGCAACAAAAAA